Molecule: ribosomal RNA, 253 nt
Filed under: uncultured bacterium
Lineage: Bacteria
Description: partial 16S ribosomal RNA
Rfam family: Bacterial small subunit ribosomal RNA
Source: RNAcentral
UACGUAGGGAGCAAGCGUUAUCCGGAUUUACUGGGUGUAAAGGGAGCGUAGGCGGCAUACCAAGCCUGAUGUGAAAACCCGGGGCCCAACCCCGGGAGUGCAUUGGGAACUGGCAAGCUAGAGUGUCGGAGAGGCAGGCGGAAUUCCUAGUGUAGCGGUGAAAUGCGUAGAUAUUAGGAGGAACACCAGUGGCGAAGGCGGCCUGCUGGACGAUGACUGACGCUGAGGCUCGAAAGCGUGGGGAGCAAACAGG